GGGGAUAUAGAUCAGUUGGUAGAGUGUUUGCCUCAAAUGCAUGAAGCCCUAGGUUCAAUCCCCAGCACCACCA
This 73-nucleotide transfer RNA is filed under the name Urocitellus parryii (Arctic ground squirrel). RNAcentral's name for it is "Spermophilus parryii (Arctic ground squirrel) tRNA". It matches the Rfam family "tRNA". Rfam says of the family: Transfer RNA (tRNA) molecules are approximately 80 nucleotides in length. Their secondary structure includes four short double-helical elements and three loops (D, anti-codon, and T loops). Further hydrogen bonds mediate the characteristic L-shaped molecular structure. tRNAs have two regions of fundamental functional importance: the anti-codon, which is responsible for specific mRNA codon recognition, and the 3' end, to which the tRNAs corresponding amino acid is attached (by aminoacyl-tRNA synthetases). tRNAs cope with the degeneracy of the genetic code in two manners: having more than one tRNA (with a specific anti-codon) for a particular amino acid; and 'wobble' base-pairing, i.e. permitting non-standard base-pairing at the 3rd anti-codon position. RNAcentral also lists the same sequence under 2 other names. Lineage: Eukaryota; Metazoa; Chordata; Mammalia; Rodentia; Sciuridae. The record is from Rfam by way of RNAcentral.